RNAcentral lists this ribosomal RNA (397 nucleotides) under Salmonella enterica subsp. enterica serovar Kedougou. RNAcentral's name for it is "partial 23S ribosomal RNA". It matches the Rfam family "Bacterial large subunit ribosomal RNA", at positions 911 to 1303 of the family's 2925-position model. The record is from RNAcentral. Lineage: Bacteria; Pseudomonadati; Pseudomonadota; Gammaproteobacteria; Enterobacterales; Enterobacteriaceae.
UGUUUCGGCUAGGGGGCCAUCCCGGCUUACCAACCCGAUGCAAACUGCGAAUACCGGAGAAUGUUAUCACGGGAGACACACGGCGGGUGCUAACGUCCGUCGUGAAGAGGGAAACAACCCAGACCGCCAGCUAAGGUCCCAAAGUCAUGGUUAAGUGGGAAACGAUGUGGGAAGGCCCAGACAGCCAGGAUGUUGGCUUAGAAGCAGCCAUCAUUUAAAGAAAGCGUAAUAGCUCACUGGUCGAGUCGGCCUGCGCGGAAGAUGUAACGGGGCUAAACCAUGCACCGAAGCUGCGGCAGCGACGCUUAUGCGUUCGUUGGGUAGGGGAGCGUUCUGUAAGCCUGUGAAGGUGGCCUGUGAGGGUUGCUGGAGGUAUCAGAAGUGCGAAUGCUGACAU